This 186-nucleotide long non-coding RNA is filed under the name Macaca fascicularis (crab-eating macaque). Its description in RNAcentral is "lncRNA (ENSMFAG00000063060.1)". Lineage: Eukaryota; Metazoa; Chordata; Mammalia; Primates; Cercopithecidae. The record is from RNAcentral.
AGGCUAGGCUGUAAUAUUAGGUAAAAUCUAAUUUCAGUUUGGUUAUCACAUAGCGUUCAUUUCCCUAAGGGAGGAGAAAAAAUUAAAUUUGUAAGCUUAAGAUUCCAGCUGAAGUAGAGAACGCUAAGAAGAUGGGCAGAAAUCAAAGCUUCCUGGUGUGAGGUUGUGGUAGAAGAUUCCUGGUUG